This 253-nucleotide ribosomal RNA is filed under the name uncultured bacterium. RNAcentral describes it as "partial 16S ribosomal RNA". It matches the Rfam family "Bacterial small subunit ribosomal RNA", at positions 524 to 776 of the family's 1533-position model. The record is from RNAcentral.
UACGGAGGGUGCGAGCGUUGUCCGGAAUCAUUGGGCGUAAAGGGCGCGUCGGUGGCGGGAGAAGCGUGCGGUGAAAGCUCGGGGCUCAACCCCGAGUCUGCCGUGCGAACUCUCUUGCUUGAGCACUGUAGAGGCAGGCGGAAUUCCGGGUGUAGCGGUGGAAUGCGUAGAGAUCCGGAAGAACACCGGUGGCGAAGGCGGCCUGCUGGGCAGUUGCUGACACUGAGGCGCGACAGCGUGGGGAGCAAACAGG